RNAcentral lists this ribosomal RNA (257 nucleotides) under uncultured bacterium. RNAcentral describes it as "partial 16S ribosomal RNA". It matches the Rfam family "Bacterial small subunit ribosomal RNA", at positions 793 to 1055 of the family's 1533-position model. The record is from RNAcentral.
GUCCACGCUGUAAACGAUGAUUACUAGGUGUGGGGAUUGACCCUUCCGUGCCGGAGUUAACACAAUAAGUAAUCCACCUGGGGAGUACGACCGCAAGGUUGAAACUCAAAGGAAUUGACGGGGCCCGCACAAGCAGUGGAGUAUGUGGUUUAAUUCGACGCAACGCGAAGAACCUUACCAAGUCUUGACAUCCCUUGACGAACAUAGAAAUAUGUUUUCUCUUCGGAGCAAGGAGACAGGUGGUGCAUGGUUGUCGU